This 720-nucleotide ribosomal RNA is filed under the name Planococcus sp. 8-146E. RNAcentral's name for it is "bacterial SSU rRNA". It matches the Rfam family "Bacterial small subunit ribosomal RNA", at positions 63 to 768 of the family's 1533-position model. The record is from RNAcentral. Lineage: Bacteria; Bacillati; Bacillota; Bacilli; Caryophanales; Caryophanaceae.
CGAGCGGAACAUUGGAGCUUGCUCCUUUGGUUUAGCGGCGGACGGGUGAGUAACACGUGGGCAACCUGCCCUGCAGAUCGGGAUAACUCCGGGAAACCGGUGCUAAUACCGAAUAGUUUGCGGCCUCUCAUGAGGCUGCACGGAAAGACGGUUUCGGCUGUCACUGCAGGAUGGGCCCGCGGCGCAUUAGCUAGUUGGUGGGGUAACGGCCUACCAAGGCGACGAUGCGUAGCCGACCUGAGAGGGUGAUCGGCCACACUGGGACUGAGACACGGCCCAGACUCCUACGGGAGGCAGCAGUAGGGAAUCUUCCGCAAUGGACGAAAGUCUGACGGAGCAACGCCGCGUGAGUGAAGAAGGUUUUCGGAUCGUAAAACUCUGUUGUGAGGGAAGAACAAGUACCAACUAACUAUUGGUACCUUGACGGUACCUCACCAGAAAGCCACGGCUAACUACGUGCCAGCAGCCGCGGUAAUACGUAGGUGGCAAGCGUUGUCCGGAAUUAUUGGGCGUAAAGCGCGCGCAGGCGGUCCUUUAAGUCUGAUGUGAAAGCCCACGGCUCAACCGUGGAGGGUCAUUGGAAACUGGGGGACUUGAGUGCAGAAGAGGAAAGUGGAAUUCCACGUGUAGCGGUGAAAUGCGUAGAGAUGUGGAGGAACACCAGUGGCGAAGGCGACUUUCUGGUCUGUAACUGACGCUGAGGCGCGAAAGCGUGGGGAG